Molecule: ribosomal RNA, 338 nt
Filed under: uncultured Pelotomaculum sp.
Lineage: Bacteria; Bacillati; Bacillota; Clostridia; Eubacteriales; Desulfotomaculaceae
Description: bacterial SSU rRNA
Rfam family: Bacterial small subunit ribosomal RNA
Source: RNAcentral
UGGUUGUCGUCAGCUCGUGUCGUGAGAUGUUGGGUUAAGUCCCGCAACGAGCCGCAACCCCCUACGUUUAGUUGCUAACGCGUGAAGGCGAGUCACUCUAGACGAACUGCCGUUGACAAAACGGAGGAAGGUGGGAUGACGUCAAUCAUCAUGCCCCUUAUGUUCUGGGCUACACACGUGCUACAAUGGCCGGUACAGACGGACGCAAAGCCGCGAGGUGGAGCAAAUCCUAAAAAGCCGGUCUCAGUUCGGAUUGCAGGCUGCAAUUCGCCUGCAUGAAGUCGGAAUCGCUAGUAAUCGCAGGUCAGCAUACUGCGGUGAAUACGUUCCCGGGCCUU